This 392-nucleotide ribosomal RNA is filed under the name uncultured bacterium. RNAcentral describes it as "bacterial SSU rRNA". It matches the Rfam family "Bacterial small subunit ribosomal RNA", at positions 28 to 417 of the family's 1533-position model. The record is from RNAcentral.
GACGAACGCUGGCGGCGUGCUUAACACAUGCAAGUCGAGCGGUAAGGCCCUUUCGGGGGUACGACGAGCGGCGAACGGGUGAGUAACACGUGGGUGACCUGCCUUUAGUCUCUGGGAGUAAGCCUGGGAAACGUGGGUCUAAUAACCGGAUAUGACUCCAUGAUGCAUGUUGUGGGGUGGAAAGCCUUGUGCGGCUGGAGAUGGGCCCGCGGCUAUCAGCUUGUCGGUGGGGUGAUGGCCUACCAAGGCGACGACGGGUAGCCGGCCUGAGAGGGCGACCGGCCACACUGGGACUGAGACACGGCCCAGACUCCUACGGGAGGCAGCAGUGGGGAAUCUUGCGCAAUGGGCGAAAGCCUGACGCAGCGACGCCGCGUGAGGGAUGACGGCCU